Molecule: ribosomal RNA, 316 nt
Filed under: uncultured Hyphochytrium
Lineage: Eukaryota; Hyphochytriomycetes
Description: partial large subunit ribosomal RNA
Rfam family: Eukaryotic large subunit ribosomal RNA
Source: RNAcentral
AUAUCAAUAAGCGGAGGAAAAGAAACUAACCAGGAUUCCCCUAGUAACGGCGAGUGAAGCGGGAAGAGCUCAACUUGAAAAUCUGUGCGCCUUCGGUGCACCGAAUUGUAGUCUAUUGAAGCUGUUGUCAGGCGCAGCCCCGGGAGAAGUCUCUUGGAACAGGGCAUCAUAGAGGAUGACAGUCCCGUCUGUGCCCGGGAGUCUGCGUUGUACGACACGCUUUCAACGAGUCGAGUUGCUUGGGACUGCAGCUCAAAAUGGGUGGUAAAUUCCAUCUAAAGCUAAAUACAGGCGAGAGACCGAUAGCGCACAAGUA